Molecule: transfer RNA, 76 nt
Filed under: Thiobacillus sp.
Lineage: Bacteria; Pseudomonadati; Pseudomonadota; Betaproteobacteria; Nitrosomonadales; Thiobacillaceae
Also listed under: 6 other names
Description: tRNA-Phe
Rfam family: tRNA
About the family: Transfer RNA (tRNA) molecules are approximately 80 nucleotides in length. Their secondary structure includes four short double-helical elements and three loops (D, anti-codon, and T loops).
Source: RNAcentral
GGCCAGGUAGCUCAGUCGGUAGAGCAGCGGAUUGAAAAUCCGCGUGUCGACGGUUCGAUUCCGCCCCUGGCCACCA